CCUACGGGAUGCUGCAGUGGGGGAUAUUGCACAAUGGGGGGAACCCUGAUGCAGCGACGCCGCGUGGGUGAAGGAGUGCUUCGGCACGUAAAGCCCUAUCGGCAGGGAAGAAGCAAGACGGUACCUGACUAAGAAGCGCCGGCGAACUACGGGCCAGCAGCCGCGGUAAUACGCAGGGGGCGAGCGUUAUCCGGAUGCACUGGGUGUAAAGGGAGCGUAGACGGCCAUGCAAGCCAGGGGUGAAAGCCCGGGGGCCAACCCAGGGACUGCCCUUGGAACUGGAUGGCUGGAGUGCGGGAGGGGUAUGCGGAAUGCCUGGUGUAGCGGUGAAAUGCGUAGAUAUCAGGAGGAACACCGGCGGCGAAGGCGGCCUGCUGGACCGCGACUGACGUUGAGGCUCGAAAGCGUGGGGAGCGAACAGGAUUAGAUACCCCAGUAGUC
RNAcentral lists this ribosomal RNA (441 nucleotides) under uncultured bacterium. Its description in RNAcentral is "partial 16S ribosomal RNA". It matches the Rfam family "Bacterial small subunit ribosomal RNA", at positions 338 to 795 of the family's 1533-position model. The record is from RNAcentral.